ACGCUGGCGGUGUGCUUCACACAUGCAAGUCGAACGAGGUAGCAAUACCUAGUGGCGGACGGGUGAGUAACGCGUGGGAAUCUGACCUUUAGAUGGGGGAUAACGGGUCGAAAGACUCGCUAAUACCGCAUAUGACGAAAGUUGAAAGGAGUAAUCCGUCUAAAGAUGAGCCCGCGUCCGAUUAGCUAGUUGGUAGAGUAAAAAGCCUACCAAGGCGACGAUCGGUAGCUGGUCUGAGAGGAUGAUCAGCCACAAUGGGACUGAGACACGGCCCAUACUCCUACGGGAGGCAGCAGUGGGGAAUUUUACGCAAUGGGCGAAAGCCUGACGUAGCGACACCGCGUGAGCGAAGAAGCCCCUUGGGGUGUAAAGCUCUGUCAGCUGGAACGAAAAAAAUGACGGUACCAGCAGAGGAAGCAUCGGCUAACUACGUG
This 434-nucleotide ribosomal RNA is filed under the name uncultured bacterium. RNAcentral describes it as "bacterial SSU rRNA". It matches the Rfam family "Bacterial small subunit ribosomal RNA", at positions 33 to 507 of the family's 1533-position model. The record is from RNAcentral.